ACACAUGCAGUCGAGCGGAUGAAGGGAGCUUGCUCCUGGAUUCAGCGGCGGACGGGUGAGUAAUGCCUAGGAAUCUGCCUGGUAGUGGGGGAUAACGUCCGGAAACGGGCGCUAAUACCGCAUACGUCCUGAGGGAGAAAGUGGGGGAUCUUCGGACCUCACGCUAUCAGAUGAGCCUAGGUCGGAUUAGCUAGUUGGUGGGGUAAAGGCCUACCAAGGCGACGAUCCGUAACUGGUCUGAGAGGAUGAUCAGUCACACUGGAACUGAGACACGGUCCAGACUCCUACGGGAGGCAGCAGUGGGGAAUAUUGGACAAUGGGCGAAAGCCUGAUCCAGCCAUGCCGCGUGUGUGAAGAAGGUCUUCGGAUUGUAAAGCACUUUAAGUUGGGAGGAAGGGCAGUAAGUUAAUACCUUGCUGUUUUGACGUUACCAACAGAAUAAGCACCGGCUAACUUCGUGCCAGCAGCCGCGGUAAUACGAAGGGUGCAAGCGUUAAUCGGAAUUACUGGGCGUAAAGCGCGCGUAGGUGGUUCAGCAAGUUGGAUGUGAAAUCCCCGGGCUCAACCUGGGAACUGCAUCCAAAACUACUGAGCUAGAGUACGGUAGAGGGUGGUGGAAUUUCCUGUGUAGCGGUGAAAUGCGUAGAUAUAGGAAGGAACACCAGUGGCGAAGGCGACCACCUGGACUGAUACUG
RNAcentral lists this ribosomal RNA (695 nucleotides) under Pseudomonas aeruginosa. RNAcentral's name for it is "bacterial SSU rRNA". It matches the Rfam family "Bacterial small subunit ribosomal RNA", at positions 51 to 742 of the family's 1533-position model. The record is from RNAcentral. Lineage: Bacteria; Pseudomonadati; Pseudomonadota; Gammaproteobacteria; Pseudomonadales; Pseudomonadaceae.